CCCUGGUGAAAGAAAAUGAAGGCCUGAAACAAGGCAGAGAAGGCAAAGAUAAACUUGAUAUCUAAUGGAAUAUGGGGGGAUAAGAAGAAGAAAAACAUUCCUGCAGGACUGGUCUGGGCAGAAGAGGAGUUGUGGUAACUAGAUAUGAGGAGAAAGAGAGGAAGGAGGCACAGAGCAGUUGGAGCUUGCUGCCUGGAAGAAUGACGGUAUGAUAAAGAGAUGGGAUGAUGUGAAAUAAUUCACAUUGUUAAUUAUGAAGUGUGUUUUGAAUCACCUCAGUGUUACCCAGAAACGACACUCGGUUAUCAUGUUCAGAUAGGGGACAAUGUGUUUUUGCAGUGAUAGCAGUGGAGGGGAAGGGUUGUCAGCUUAAGGGGCAGUUGGUCAUUCUGUCAUCAAAUGAAUUAGUAGCAAGACUUGACCAGCAUUUGUGAAUAAUGAAGCUUUUCUUGCUGACAAACUGCUGAUGUUUACAUUGGGC
RNAcentral lists this long non-coding RNA (481 nucleotides) under Homo sapiens (human). RNAcentral's name for it is "non-protein coding lnc-ARL5A-1:4". Lineage: Eukaryota; Metazoa; Chordata; Mammalia; Primates; Hominidae. The record is from RNAcentral.